This 438-nucleotide ribosomal RNA is filed under the name uncultured bacterium. RNAcentral's name for it is "partial 16S ribosomal RNA". It matches the Rfam family "Bacterial small subunit ribosomal RNA", at positions 339 to 795 of the family's 1533-position model. The record is from RNAcentral.
CUACGGGCCGCUGCAGUGAGGAAUAUUGCACAAUGGGGGAACCCUGAUGCAGCAACGCCGCGUGGAGGAUGACGCAUUUCGGUGUGUAAACUCCUUUUAUAUGUCAAGAAAAUGACGGUAGCAUAUGAAUAAGCACCGGCUAACUCCGUGCCAGCAGCCGCGGUAAUACGGAGGGUGCAAGCGUUACUCGGAAUCACUGGGCGUAAAGGACGCGUAGGCGGGUUGGAAAGUCAGGUGUGAAAUCCUACAGCUUAACUGUAGAACUGCACUUGAAACUUCUAAUCUAGAGUAUGGGAGGGGGAGAUGGAAUUAGUGGUGUAGGGGUAAAAUCCGUAGAUAUCACUAGGAAUACCUAAAGCGAAGGCGAUCUCCUGGAACAUUACUGACGCUAAGGCGUGAAAGCGUGGGGAGUAAACAGGAUUAGAUACCCUGGUAGUC